Ziziphus jujuba (common jujube) is the source of this 3193-nucleotide long non-coding RNA. RefSeq lists it as uncharacterized. The record is from RefSeq and is a predicted model, not a curated record. The transcript is spliced from 4 exons. NCBI's taxonomy places the organism in Eukaryota, Viridiplantae, Streptophyta, Magnoliopsida, Rosales, Rhamnaceae.
UCCCAGAGAGGUUCCAAAAGGAGUCAAAAACCCUGGCUCUGUUUCAUUCUGAGUCAUCUCUAUAAGAAAGCCAUUAUCCAUCUUCAUAUCUUUCAAAACUCUCUAUGAAACACCAAACCAACCAUGUGCGAUGAAAGCGGCGGAUCAAUCUUUCUUCUCUGCUUCCCUUCAACUGUUGGUCUCAUAGAAGAGCUUCUAUGGAGGUCUUCGACUUCUUUAGAAGCUGAAAUGGUGUCACUGUCAGUUAGUGGAGCUCUGAACCAUGCUAAGCAGAAGAAAAUGGAAGACAUGGAUUCGAGACAGUGGCUUGGUGAGUUCAAAGAUGCUAUCUGCUGUGUAGAGGAUCUGGUGGGUGAGAUCAAAUCUCAAGCUUUUCGAUGCAAAGUGGAAAAAGGUAAAUCUGGAAUCUGCAUAUUGGUUAAGGUAUGCAACUUUUUCUCAUCUACAAUCACUGUUAAGGAAAUAGAAGAUAAGAUAGAGGAUAAUCUGGGGAUGCUAGAUUAUGUUGUGAGAGAAGAAGAUCUAUUUGGAUUGAGAUUAUCUGAAACUAGUUUGGUGGAAGAAUCUGAUAUUUAUGGGAGGACUAGGGAUAAGUUAGCCAUGUUUGACUUGUUUUUGUUGUUGUUAUAUGAUGAUGAAGGAGGUGGUAAUAAAAUAUGUGUCAUUAUGGGAAUGGGUGGAAUCGGCACUAGCACUCUUGGGUUAAGAUACUUUUGAUUCUAAAAGUAUAAAUUAGAUUGUCCGAUAAAUUGAUAUUUUUAUAUUGGGAUGAAAAAUUUAUUAGAGAAUUAAUAGUUCAAAAGGUUGUCCUAGCAAGUUGUUUUUGAAAGAAAAAAAAUAUUUCUUUGUUCUGGAUGAUGUUUGAAAUGUGAAUUAAUAGUUCAUUUGAAUAUACAGAACAUGAAAAUAAGAUUGUUUGUUACAAUAUGGAUGGAAAUACUGCAUGAAAGAUGGGAUGGUUUGGUAUUUAAGAAAGAUGUUUGGAGUUUAUUUCUUAAGCAUGCCUUCAAUAAUGUAGAGCCAAGUGCCUACCCAUCUUUGGAAGAAAUUGAUAGAGAAAUUGUUAAAAAAUGCAAAAGGUCUUCCUUUAGCAGUAAAACAACUUGCUAGUUUUGUGUGCAUUAAACUAAAUCCCAAAAAAUAUUAAAUAUAUCGGACAAUGACAUAUGGGAGGUUUAACUCAAAAGAGUGAAAUAUUCUUCUAGCUCUAUGGUUGAGCUACUAUUAUUUGCCUCCACAUCUAAAACGAUGUUUUAGAUUCCAUGUUUAUUUAAGAGCAUUGAGCAAGAAAUACGUCAAGUGGAAAGCGAGAAGCUCCAAUUCAAGCGAAACAAGAUACACUCUCUCAAAAACAGGUGCUUCUUGAAGAGCAAAAAUCACUCAUUGUGGAGGCUGUCAUCCUCAGUGACCAAGGAGUCUAGAAGAAUCCAUCGACUCUUGAUGAUGUAACAUCAAGGUCACUAUUUCAUAAAAAAAUAAAAAUUUUGGUUUUAUCAUGCAUGAUCUUGUGAAUGAUUUGGAUAAACUUAUAGCAAAAGAAUCUUGUUUGAUGUUUGAUGAUAAUAACUCAGACAUCUUUCUAGGAAAGAUUCUUUAUUUGUUUUGGAUUGCAUAUAAGUUGUUUGAUAUCAAGAUGUUAGAAUAUUUAUCCAGAAAACAAGUUAUUCUGCUUUCUUGAUAAAUUUUAAAACAUUGCAAAAAUUUCAAUGCUUAAGAAUGCUUUCUUUGUGUAAAGUUGAUACUAUCACAAAGUUGCUGAAUUUAGUUGACAAAUUGGAGCUUUUAAGGUAUUUGGAUUUGUCUUGGACUGAAAUCAAAGAAAUACUUAUGCAAUUUGUAGUAUGUACAAUUUGCAAGCACUAUUAUCAUAUUGUUGUAGUAAUUCUGGUAGAUGUUAGAUUCAAUUGGUAAUUUGAAGCGUCUAAGGUACGCAGACUUAUCACGCAUCUUAGUUGAAGAGAUUUCAUUUGCUGUAUGUAAGAUCUGCAUACUCUGUUGCUGGGAGUUUGGGAUCUUGUACUACUUGUUUAUCAACAAAUGUGACAAGACAAUCAAUUUGUCCCACUUGAACAUCAGUGAGACGUCUCUGCAAAUAUCCAACUUCUGAUAUCAGAAAUAUUAUGUGAUUUUGUUGUAAGGAAAACAAUGGAUCUGGUAUUAAGUAAUGGGGUUGGAAGCCUUGGAAAAGUAGUAACUGUUGAUGAUAUUGUAGAUUCAUUUCUGAAGAAAUGUCAGCUUCAGCUUCCAGUCACACUGAUUUCUCUCAAGCUAUUCAGUCUUAAUAACCUUAAAUCUCUUAAUGGCCAGGCCUUUAGACAUCUGGCUUCCCUAAAAGUAUUGAUUUCUUUUGCUGUGCUUUACUAAAUGAACGGUGCCAAAGAGAGAUAGGAGGAGAUUGGCGCCCAACAUUUCAGCAUACACAUAAAUAACAGUUAUACAUGAUCAACAGUGUACAAAGUAUGGACAGACAAGUACUCUGCUUCUCUUCAGUUUUUGAGACCCAUGAUACUUUUGUGGUUCCCAUAGUGGGAGACAACUACUGUUAUUUCCAGAUGACAGAUCGCUUUCAAAUUAUAAUUGUAUACUAUUUCUGGAGCAAAGAGCUUUUAUUACAUUUUUGUGCACUGGGAAUCUGCAAGCACUCUAGUCUCCUAUGUUCUAACAUAUCGAAUGCAUAGAUGAUGUUUGGGAUGGUUUUUUUCAUGCUAUCAGCUCCAGUGCUUGCCAGAAGGAGCUCAACAAGAAUAAAAGCUAUUGGUCUCCUUGCCUCUGGAGCGCAGGCGCAAUGGUAUACCAGUUGUUUGGAUCUUAGUUCAGGUUCCUUUUUGUUCUUUGAAAAUUUGAAUGUAGGAAUUAAGUAUGUAUUCCUUGGCGGAAGUGAAGACACCAGCGAUGAUGAGAUGAGAUUCAGAAACCAUAACAUCAUAUCCAUGAAAGUUGCGGUGGCUAACAGUUUGGAAGAGAGCCAUUAAUGAAUUUACGAAACUAUGGUAGCCUUUUGUAGCUAUGUGAAACAUUGAGGGAUGUCAAUAAUAUAUGUGCUGAUUAAGAAAAAUACAAAUUUAUCCUGAUAUAAUAAUAUCAAAUAUCAGAGAGAAAAUUUUGAAGAUAAGUUUCAGCAUGUAGACACUGAUAUCAGUUAAUGCAAAUGUGGUGUUAUGGUGCAAUUCUAGAAUGUGCCACUUUUUCUGAA